GAAUUUGCCUUUAGGAGGGGGACAACAACUGGAAACGGUUGCUAAUACCCCAUAUGCUUUCGAGUGAAACGGUUUUUCCGCCUAAAGAGAAGCUUGCGGCUGAUUAGCUUGUUGGUGAGGUAAUGGCUCACCAAGGCGACGAUCAGUAUCUGGUUUGAGAGGACGAUCAGACACACUGGAACUGAGACACGGUCCAGACUCCUACGGGAGGCAGCAGUGGGGAAUUUUCCGCAAUGGGCGAAAGCCUGACGGAGCAAUACCGCGUGAGGGAUGACGGCCUAUGGGUUGUAAACCUCUUUUUUCAGGGAGGAAUCAAUGACGUGUACCUGAGGAAUAAGCAUCGGCUAACUCCGUGCCAGCAGCCGCGGUAAGACGGAGGAUGCAAGUGUUAUCCGGAAUCACUGGGCGUAAAGCGUCUGUAGGUGGUCCAAUAAGUCAACUGUUAAAUCUUGAGGCUCAACCUCAAAAUCGCAGUCGAAACUAUUAGACUAGAGUAUAGUAGGGGUAAAGGGAAUUUCCAGUGGAGCGGUGAAAUGCGUAGAGAUUGGAAAGAACACCGAUGGCGAAGGCACUUUACUGGGCUAUUACUAACACUGAGAGACGAAAGCUAGGGUAGCAA
This 619-nucleotide ribosomal RNA is filed under the name uncultured alga. RNAcentral describes it as "bacterial SSU rRNA". It matches the Rfam family "Bacterial small subunit ribosomal RNA", at positions 122 to 771 of the family's 1533-position model. RNAcentral also lists the same sequence under 1 other name. The record is from RNAcentral.